RNAcentral lists this ribosomal RNA (581 nucleotides) under uncultured Corynebacterium sp. RNAcentral's name for it is "bacterial SSU rRNA". It matches the Rfam family "Bacterial small subunit ribosomal RNA", at positions 338 to 918 of the family's 1533-position model. Lineage: Bacteria; Bacillati; Actinomycetota; Actinomycetes; Mycobacteriales; Corynebacteriaceae. The record is from RNAcentral.
CCUACGGGAGGCAGCAGUGGGGAAUAUUGCACAAUGGGCGCAAGCCUGAUGCAGCGACUCCGCGUGGGGGAUGACGGCNUUCGGGUUGUAAACCUCUUUCGCUAGGGACGAAGCCAUCCUUUGGGGGUGGUGACGGUACCUGGAUAAGAAGCCCCGGCUAACUACGUGCCAGCAGCCGCGGUAAUACGUAGGGUGCGAGCGUUGUCCGGAAUUACUGGGCGUAAAGAGCUCGUAGGUGGUUUGUCGCGUCGUCUGUGAAAUUCCGGGGCUUAACUCCGGGCGUGCAGGCGAUACGGGCAAUACUUGAGUGCUGUAGGGGAGACUGGAAUUCCUGGUGUAGCGGUGAAAUGCGCAGAUAUCAGGAGGAACACCAAUGGCGAAGGCAGGUCUCUGGGCAGUAACUGACGCUGAGGAGCGAAAGCAUGGGUAGCGAACAGGAUUAGAUACCCUGGUAGUCCAUGCCGUAAACGGUGGGCGCUAGGUGUAGGGGUCUUCCACGACUUCUGUGCCGUAGCUAACGCAUUAAGCGCCCCNCCUGGGGAGUACGGCCGCAAGGCUAAAACUCAAAUGAAUUGACGGGG